This 393-nucleotide ribosomal RNA is filed under the name uncultured bacterium. RNAcentral describes it as "partial 16S ribosomal RNA". It matches the Rfam family "Bacterial small subunit ribosomal RNA", at positions 523 to 918 of the family's 1533-position model. The record is from RNAcentral.
AUACGUAGGGUCCAAGCGUUAUCCGGAUUUACUGGGUGUAAAGGGCGAGUAGACGGCGCUGUAAGUCAGCUGUGAAAACUUAGGGCUCAACCUUAAGCCUGCAGCUGAAACUGUAGUGCUAGAGUGCAGGAGAGGUAAGCGGAAUUCCUAGUGUAGCGGUGAAAUGCGUAGAUAUUAGGAGGAACACCAGUGGCGAAGGCGGCUUACUGGACUGUAACUGACGUUGAGGCGCGAAAGUGUGGGGAGCAAACAGGAUUAGAUACCCUGGUAGUCCACACCGUAAACGAUGGAUACUAGGUGUAGGCGAGAUAUCGUCUGUGCCGGCGCAAACGCAAUAAGUAUCCCACCUGGGGAGUACGGCCGCAAGGUUGAAACUCAAAGGAAUUGACGGGG